This 32-nucleotide transfer RNA is filed under the name Rhinolophus euryale (Mediterranean horseshoe bat). RNAcentral describes it as "partial tRNA-Pro". Lineage: Eukaryota; Metazoa; Chordata; Mammalia; Chiroptera; Rhinolophidae. RNAcentral also lists the same sequence under 1 other name. The record is from RNAcentral.
UUCCUACCAUCAGCACCCAAAGCUGAAAUUCU